This 338-nucleotide unclassified non-coding RNA is filed under the name soil metagenome. RNAcentral describes it as "partial contains 5.8S ribosomal RNA, internal transcribed spacer 2, and large subunit ribosomal RNA". The stretch from base 1 to 120 matches the Rfam family "5.8S ribosomal RNA", at positions 35 to 154 of the family's 154-position model. The record is from RNAcentral.
GAUGAAGAACGCAGCGAAAUGCGAUAAGUAGUGUGAAUUGCAGAAUUCAGUGAAUCAUCGAAUCUUUGAACGCACAUUGCGCCCCUUGGUAUUCCAUGGGGCAUGCCUGUUCGAGCAUCAUCUACACCCUCAAGCUCUGCUUGGUGUUGGGCGUCUGUCCCGCCCCCGCGCGUGGACUCGCCCCAAAUCCAUUGGCAGCGUUCCUUGCCCCCUCUCGCGCAGCACAUUGCGCUUCUCGAGGGCGGCUCCGGGACGCGAUCCAGCAAGAUGACCACCGUCUUUGACCUCGGAUCAGGUAGGGAUACCCGCUGAACUUAAGCAUAUCAAUAAGCGGAGGA